UACGGAGGGUGCGAGCGUUAUUCGGAAUUACUGGGCGUAAAGCGCGUGUAGGCGGGGAAGCAAGUCUGAUGUGAAAGCCCUGGGCUUAACCUGGGAAGUGCAUUGGAAACUGUUUUUCUUGAGUACUGGAGAGGAAGGGAGAAUUCCCGGUGUAGAGGUGAAAUUCGUAGAGAUCGGGAGGAACACCAGUGGCGAAGGCGCCCUGCUGGACGGUUACUGACGAUGAGACGCGAAAGAGUGGGGAGCAAACAGG
Molecule: ribosomal RNA, 253 nt
Filed under: uncultured bacterium
Lineage: Bacteria
Description: partial 16S ribosomal RNA
Rfam family: Bacterial small subunit ribosomal RNA
Source: RNAcentral